CCCGCACAAGCGGCGGAGCAUGCGAUUAAUCGAUGCAACGCGAAGAACCUUACCAAGGCUUGACAUACACCGGUAACGCCCAGAGAUGGGUGCCCCUUUGUGGUCGGUGUACAGGUGGUGCAUGGUUGUCGUCAGCUCGUGUCGUGAGAUGUUGGGUUAAGUCCCGCAACGAGCGCAACCUUCGUCCUAUGUUGCCAGCGGGUCAUGCCGGGGACUCAUGGGAGACUGCCGGGGUCAACUCGGAGGAAGGUGGGAUGACGUCAAAUCAUCAUGCCCCUUAUGUCUUGGGCUUCACGCAUGCUACAAUGGCCGGUACAAAGGGCUGCGAUACCGCGAGGUGGAGCGAAUCCCAGAAAGCCGGUCUCAGUUCGGAUUGGGGUCUGCAACUCGACCCCAUGAAGUCGGAGUCGCUAGUAAUCGCAGAUCAGCAACGCUCGCGGUCCGAAUACGUUCCGGCCUU
This 460-nucleotide ribosomal RNA is filed under the name uncultured Curtobacterium sp. RNAcentral's name for it is "bacterial SSU rRNA". It matches the Rfam family "Bacterial small subunit ribosomal RNA", at positions 921 to 1377 of the family's 1533-position model. Lineage: Bacteria; Bacillati; Actinomycetota; Actinomycetes; Micrococcales; Microbacteriaceae. The record is from RNAcentral.